RNAcentral lists this ribosomal RNA (301 nucleotides) under uncultured bacterium. RNAcentral's name for it is "partial 16S ribosomal RNA". It matches the Rfam family "Bacterial small subunit ribosomal RNA", at positions 509 to 807 of the family's 1533-position model. The record is from RNAcentral.
CAGCAGCCACGGUAAUACGGAGGGAGCUAGCGUUGUUCGGAAUUACUGGGCGUAAAGCGCGCGUAGGCGGUUACUCAAGUCAGAGGUGAAAGCCCGGGGCUCAACCCCGGAACUGCCUUUGAAACUAGGUGACUAGAAUCUUGGAGAGGUCAGUGGAAUUCCGAGUGUAGAGGUGAAAUUCGUAGAUAUUCGGAAGAACACCAGUGGCGAAGGCGACUGACUGGACAAGUAUUGACGCUGAGGUGCGAAAGCGUGGGGAGCAAACAGGAUUAGAGACCCCUGUAGUCCCUGUCUCUUAUAC